CUUAAGGAAGCGAUUAAGGCUCGAGGGCUCUGCCCUCAUGGAUGGGAUUAGCAUCUUAUAAAAGGUCUUGAAGUGGUGAGUCCAUAUGAGGACACAGCGUUCAUCCCCUCUGCAGGAGACAGAACGAGGCGCCAUCCUGGAAGCAGAGAGGUGUCCUCACAAGACACCAAACCUGCUGGCACCUUGACCUUGAAGUUCCCAGCCUCCAAAACUACCUAAGUAACAACUUACGGAGUAGGAGAAGUGGAUACUGCAAAAAGCUGAAGAAUUAGAGUUCACCUAGACCUGGGUUUGAAUCCUCCUCUGUCAUUUACUAGAUAAAGUUUUUAGCAAGUGUUUAACUGCUUUGCAUCUUGUUUUCCUAAGACUCAGAGUUCUGAUAUCAAGACGCAAG
RNAcentral lists this long non-coding RNA (394 nucleotides) under Homo sapiens (human). Its description in RNAcentral is "HSALNT0237327". Lineage: Eukaryota; Metazoa; Chordata; Mammalia; Primates; Hominidae. The record is from RNAcentral.